AGAGUUUGAUCAUGGCUCAGAACGAACGCUGGCGGCAGGCUUAACACAUGCAAGUCGAGCGAUCGCAGCAAUGCGGGAGCGGCAGACGGGUGAGUAACGCGUGGGAACAUACCCUUCGGUUCGGAAUAACUCAGGGAAACUUGAGCUAAUACCGGAUACGGACGAGAGUCGAAAGAUUUAUCGCCGAAGGAUUGGCCCGC
RNAcentral lists this ribosomal RNA (200 nucleotides) under uncultured bacterium. RNAcentral's name for it is "partial 16S ribosomal RNA". It matches the Rfam family "Bacterial small subunit ribosomal RNA", at positions 8 to 234 of the family's 1533-position model. The record is from RNAcentral.